GUUUAUUCGUCUUUGUGUCCCCAGCUCUUUGUGACAUUCUGAGUUUGUCACCAACAAAUGCUUGUGGAAUUGAAUUGAAUUCCCAUCCAGUACUACAAGAGAAACGUGCCUUCUAACACAUGGUGCUUCACAUAGGCAAAAAACAAUUACUGGUUCUCUCUCUGGAUUCACCUGAGUUGAAAUUAAGAGCUUCUCCAAGACAUUCUCCAAGAGGUGGAGAGUCCAGUGUUGCCCCAGUGCAAGUGAACGAAGACUCCAGGAGUUGGAAAUCACAGACAAACUCUGCAAAUCUAUAUCCUCAGUUAGAAGAAUAGCCUCACAGCUCAUGCAGUGUUGACAGGGGUCAGCAAUGUUCUCAGGCCACUAAGAAGCUAC
Molecule: long non-coding RNA, 375 nt
Filed under: Vulpes vulpes (red fox)
Lineage: Eukaryota; Metazoa; Chordata; Mammalia; Carnivora; Canidae
Description: lncRNA (ENSVVUG00000018725.1)
Source: RNAcentral